This 1054-nucleotide long non-coding RNA is filed under the name Homo sapiens (human). RNAcentral describes it as "PREDICTED lncRNA (TCONS_00070673)". The record is from RNAcentral. Lineage: Eukaryota; Metazoa; Chordata; Mammalia; Primates; Hominidae.
UGUGGUGAAGGUCUGAACUCUCUACCAACCUGGCCAAGGGCAAGGGAAGGCUCGAUGGAGUGCCGAGAGCCUUGAAAAAUCAAGGGUUUAAAAUCAUUGAGAGGGGUGAAAUUGAAGUGAAAGGUAAAGGGAGAAUGACCACAUACUUUUUGAUCCAGAACUUGAAUGCCACAGAGGAUGAGAUCAUGGGGAGAUCUAAAACCCCAGUUGAUCACAAGGGGUCAACACAGAAAGCAUCCUUGCCCACCACCAAGCUCCAGGGCUCAGUUCAACCAUCUUGCCCUGAACACUCUUCUCUUGCAUCCUGGUUAUUAUGACGUUCUUUGAGCUGGGCCGAUAGAUCCAGCUGAAGAGUUCUACAUACAUUAGUCUUCAAGGUUCUUCUCUGGGCGUUUCCCAUGCAGCUCUCUGGUAGCUGGGGAAUGAUUUGUAAUGAGUACAUGAAACACGUUAAAUGUCCUUCAGCCUCCCUACCACGACAUCCAACAGCUGGAACUUCCAUCCAGUCCUUCACAUGAUGGGCACCUGUGGGAAACCUGCCAGGGGCAGCCGAUGUUCAGAGGCAUCCAAAAAAAGUCUCCCACUUCGGCAGCCAUGAAGCCCACUCAUGCAACCGUCCUCACUUUUCCUUCCUCUCACGGUUUUUUGCAGAAGCAAGUGCUCAGGGAAAUGAAGACAGGAGAACUGCUGCCGUCAUGAGCUAUGCCGACAGUCAGCAGCUGAUCCCCGACAGAAACGCAGCAGAUGCAGACGCUCCUGAUGAAAUCAUCCCUGUGGGGAGUGCAGGGCCAGAUGGGGACUCCAUGGAGACAGCCGACCGGCGACAGCCUUCAGCUCCGACAAAGACACAUCACCUUGCAAAUGACACUUUGCCGUCUGGUUUCUGUGUUUUGUUGUAACAGGUUAAAUGAACCCCUGGGCUUAAUUUUCCCCCUACUUAGUUCUGUGGCAGCAAAGAAAAGUGACUUCUUUUCAUUUCUCAGCUCAAAACUUCUUAAGCCGUGUCUCUUCCUCAUCAUCCCUUUGAGAAUAAAAGUCUAGAAAUGAAACACAA